UAGCCGUAAACGAUACUCGCUAGGUGUCGGCCACGGUGCGACCGUUGUCGGUGCCGUAGGGAAGCCGUGAAGCGAGCCACCUGGGAAGUACGGCCGCAAGGCUGAAACUUAAAGGAAUUGGCGGGGGAGCACCACAACGGGUGGAGCUUGCGGUUUAAUUGGAUUCAACGCCGGAAAUCUUACCGGGACCGACAGCAACAUGAAAGCCAGGCUGAAGACUUUGCCGGAUUAGCUGAGAGGAGGUGCAUGGCGUAGUCGUGU
Molecule: ribosomal RNA, 261 nt
Filed under: uncultured archaeon
Lineage: Archaea
Description: partial 16S ribosomal RNA
Rfam family: Archaeal small subunit ribosomal RNA
Source: RNAcentral